Molecule: long non-coding RNA, 1079 nt
Filed under: Meriones unguiculatus (Mongolian gerbil)
Lineage: Eukaryota; Metazoa; Chordata; Mammalia; Rodentia; Muridae
Description: lncRNA (ENSMUGG00000018406.1)
Source: RNAcentral
GUUCCCGAGAGGUGCCACUACUCCAUCCAAUCUCAGGCUUUAGGGUCUGUGUUCCAGUGUUCCAGGAGGCUGGAGUUUCUUUUUGGGCACACAUUCAGGCCCAGGCUGGGACUUAACCACCUUGUGCUCCCUGGCUGGACCUGGGGGAGCCACCUGAUCCAGAGAAGACUCCCUACCGAGAAUUCCAGGCCUAGUUAUGGAGAACCCAAUGCACACAGGUAUGAAGUGAGCCGGAAGGAAACGAGUAGCUCGUGCAGGACAAUAAGCAGGACCCGAUGGGCUGCUGAGCUACUUGCUCCUCCGCAGGAUUUGGGGAGGUUUGAUCUGCUUCCCUAGAAAGAUGGGGUACAAUCUAGAUAUCAUCUGCAUUUAGAACUUUAGGAUCCUGCCUACUCUUAAGUCUCCCGAGGUGGGCAGGGCCAACCCAGGCCACAGACAAACCUGAUGGAGAAGAAACAGCCACAUUGCCAGGACCUGGACCACGGUGAGGAAAGGCCCUAAUGAGCCCCUCUGUCCUGUUCAGAGCUCACUCCUGUGAGCAACCUCAGACAAAGAGGCUCUGAGGAAGAGCCUCAUCAGACAGUUUCAAGAGGGGCUGCAACAAAAGCAUCAGAGAGAGGCAAAGUAUGCUGGGACAAGUUCAGGGCCUGGUUUUGGGCGGCUAGGAAGUGGGGAGGGAAGGGCUAGAGAGAUGACAGAGCUGCCCAAAGGAGGACUAGGGAAGGACCUUCAACUGGCCGUGUAUGUCACAGAACUCAGCCAGCAGCCACUUUGGAAAGAGUAAAUAUUGAUGGAGUCCCACUGCCAGGAAGACCUAGAGAGCAUAGAGAUUGGUGGAGGGACUGAUUCAUGCUACAGAGUACUAUGUUUAUUAGUUAGCUUUUGGGGGCAGUGAUAAAACACCAUGGCCAAACGCAACUUGGGGAGUAAAGGGUUUGUUUCCUCAUAUAGCCUGUAGACCAUCAUCCAGGGAAGUCAGGGCAGGAGCCGAUGCAGUGGCCAGGGAGGAGCUCUGCUUACUGGCUUGCUUCCUAGGGCUAGCUCAGCCUUCGUUCUCACAACACUCAGGUCCACCUGUC